Molecule: ribosomal RNA, 235 nt
Filed under: uncultured Glomus
Lineage: Eukaryota; Fungi; Glomeromycota; Glomeromycetes; Glomerales; Glomeraceae
Description: partial 18S ribosomal RNA
Rfam family: Eukaryotic small subunit ribosomal RNA
Source: RNAcentral
UUGGAGGGCAAGUCUGGUGCCAGCAGCCGCGGUAAUUCCAGCUCCAAUAGCGUAUAUUAAAGUUGUUGCAGUUAAAAAGCUCGUAGUUGAAUUUCGGGAUCAGUAGGUUGGUCAUGCCUAUGGUAUGUACUGGCUUUACUGGUUCCUCCUUCUUGAUGAUCUGUAAUGUCAUUAAUUUGGUGUUGCAGGGAGUCAGGACUGAUACUUUGAAAAAAUUAGAGUGUUUAAAGCAGGC